RNAcentral lists this ribosomal RNA (465 nucleotides) under Vreelandella stevensii. Its description in RNAcentral is "partial 16S ribosomal RNA". It matches the Rfam family "Bacterial small subunit ribosomal RNA", at positions 338 to 795 of the family's 1533-position model. Lineage: Bacteria; Pseudomonadati; Pseudomonadota; Gammaproteobacteria; Oceanospirillales; Halomonadaceae. The record is from RNAcentral.
CCUACGGGGCGCUGCAGUGGGGAAUAUUGGACAAUGGGCGAAAGCCUGAUCCAGCCAUGCCGCGUGUGUGAAGAAGGCCUUCGGGUUGUAAAGCACUUUCAGUGGGGAAGAAAGCCUUGGGGCUAAUACCCUCGAGGAAGGACAUCACCCACAGAAGAAGCACCGGCUAACUCCGUGCCAGCAGCCGCGGUAAUACGGAGGGUGUGAGCGUUAAUCGGAAUUACUGGGCGUAAAGCGCGCGUAGGCGGUCUGAUAAGCCGGUUGUGAAAGCCCCGGGCUCAACCUGGGAACGGCAUCCGGAACUGUCAGGCUAGAGUGCAGGAGAGGAAGGUAGAAUUCCCGGUGUAGCGGUGAAAUGCGUAGAGAUCGGGAGGAAUACCAGUGGCGAAGGCGGCCUUCUGGACUGACACUGACGCUGAGGUGCGAAAGCGUGGGUAGCAAACAGGAUUAGAUACCCUAGUAGUC